AACCGCAAGGGGUGCUGAUUUUCGGCUGAGAGCGGGCUUAUGGCCUGUAACCCUGAACCUGAUCCGGAUAAUGCCGGCGGAGGGAUGCUGC
RNAcentral lists this non-coding RNA (91 nucleotides) under Merdimmobilis hominis. RNAcentral describes it as "TPP riboswitch (THI element)". It matches the Rfam family "TPP riboswitch aptamer (THI element)", at positions 8 to 91 of the family's 105-position model. From Rfam's summary of the family: Vitamin B(1) in its active form thiamin pyrophosphate (TPP) is an essential coenzyme that is synthesised by coupling of pyrimidine and thiazole moieties in bacteria. The previously detected thiamin-regulatory element, thi box was extended, resulting in a new, highly conserved RNA secondary structure, the THI element, which is widely distributed in eubacteria and also occurs in some archaea. Analysis of operon structures identified a large number of new candidate thiamin-regulated genes, mostly transporters, in various prokaryotic organisms. Lineage: Bacteria; Bacillati; Bacillota; Clostridia; Eubacteriales; Oscillospiraceae. The record is from RNAcentral.